Molecule: ribosomal RNA, 298 nt
Filed under: uncultured soil bacterium
Lineage: Bacteria
Description: partial 16S ribosomal RNA
Rfam family: Bacterial small subunit ribosomal RNA
Source: RNAcentral
AGAUUGAACGCUGGCGGAAUGCUUUACACAUGCAAGUCGAACGGCAGCACGGGGGCAACCCUGGUGGCGAGUGGCGAACGGGUGAGUAAUACAUCGGAACGUGCCCAGUCGUGGGGGAUAACGUAGCGAAAGCUACGCUAAUACCGCAUACGAACUCUGGUUGAAAGCGGGGGACUCGCAAGAGCCUCGCGCGAUUGGAGCGGCCGAUGGCAGAUUAGGUAGUUGGUGGGGUAAAGGCUCACCAAGCCUGCGAUCUGUAGCUGGUCUGAGAGGACGACCAGCCACACUGGGACUGAGA